GGGGGGGGGGGGGGGGGGGGGGGGGAGAGGCAGGGCGGGCGGAGAGGCGAGGAGCGUGCGCCUCGGACGUUAGCGGCGGACGGGUGAGUAACACGUGGAUAACCUACCUAUAAGACGGGGAGAACUUCGGGAAACCGGAGCUAAUACCGGAUAAUAUAUUGAACCGCAUGGUUCAAUAGUGAAAGACGGUUUUGCUGUCACUUAUAGAUGGAUCCGCGCCGCAUUAGCUAGUUGGUAAGGUAACGGCUUACCAAGGCGACGAUGCGUAGCCGACCUGAGAGGGUGAUCGGCCACACUGGAACUGAGACACGGUCCAGACUCCUACGGGAGGCAGCAGUAGGGAAUCUUCCGCAAUGGGCGAAAGCCUGACGGAGCAACGCCGCGUGAGUGAUGAAGGUCUUCGGAUCGUAAAACUCUGUUAUUAGGGAAGAACAAAUGUGUAAGUAACUAUGCACGUCUUGACGGUACCUAAUCAGAAAGCCACGGCUAACUACGUG
RNAcentral lists this ribosomal RNA (497 nucleotides) under uncultured bacterium. Its description in RNAcentral is "partial 16S ribosomal RNA". It matches the Rfam family "Bacterial small subunit ribosomal RNA", at positions 26 to 507 of the family's 1533-position model. The record is from RNAcentral.